UUCCUGUCACAACGUUUUAUAUAAAUGGGA
RNAcentral lists this non-coding RNA (30 nucleotides) under Mus musculus (house mouse). The record is from RNAcentral. Lineage: Eukaryota; Metazoa; Chordata; Mammalia; Rodentia; Muridae.